RNAcentral lists this ribosomal RNA (124 nucleotides) under Lepisosteus oculatus (spotted gar). Lineage: Eukaryota; Metazoa; Chordata; Actinopteri; Semionotiformes; Lepisosteidae. The record is from RNAcentral.
GCCAGCAGCCAUAUCAGUCUGCAACUCACAACUGGCAACCCACUGAAGCUACAGUAAGCAGGUGUGAGCCUGGUCAGUACCUGGAUUGGAGACCUCCUGGGAAAAACAAAGGUUGCUACUGGAA